UACAACUAUACCUUAUUUUGUAAUGGCAAAAUAAUAAUAUUGACAUCAUAUUGACUAGUGCAUUAGAUCACAAAGCAUCAAUGUCAAUCUACAUGUCAGGGACACGUGUCAUCCAUAUAAGUGCUUAUUUCAAGACAUGAAAUAUUUGUCUCUGACAUUCUCACUUUUAAAAUGUCUAAAUACCUAUUAGAUAGAAAAGGUACAGUACACACUGGGAAUAGCACACCACAGCCAAAACAGAUACAAGUAAAUUUACAGUUUUUCUCGAUUGCUUUCUCGAUGCUGAGUAACCUGUACAUUUGCUACAUUUGGAAAUGAAGCUUUUGGAAAAUGGGUAUUUUAUUGUGCAUGGACUCUUCCUUACAUGUUUUGUCAGUGUGACAUUUCAAAGGUCAGGUUUUUGACCAAAACAGCAUAUACAUUAGUAUUCCCUUAUCCACUAAUGUACGAGGUAUUUAUUACAGUAGUAUUCCCUUAUCCACUAAUGUACGAGGUAUUUAUUACAGUAGUAUUCCCUUAUCCACUAAUGUACGAGGUAUUUAUUCUAGUAGUAUUCCCUUAUCCACUAAUGUACGAGGUAUUUAUUAGUAGUAUUCCCUUAUCCACUAAUGUACGAGGUAUUUAUUAGUAGUAUUCCCUUAUCCACUAAUGUACGAGGUAUUUAUUACAGUAGUUUUCCCAUAUCCACUAAUGAACGAGGUAUUUAUUACAGUAGUAUUCCCUUAUCCACUAAUGUACGAGGUAUUUAUUAGUAGUAUUCCCUUAUCCACUAAUGUACGAGGUAUUUAUUAGUAGUAUUCCCUUAUCCACUAAUGUACGAGGUAUUUAUUACAGUAGUAUUCCCUUAUCCACUAAUGUACGAGCUAUUUAUUACAGUACUGUUUUGAAGUUCUCUCGCCAGGGUGUUCCUGAAAAGAUUAUCUGGAUAGUCAGUGCUGUGAUUUUACAAAGUUCAACAUAAUUGAUCUGAAAACCUAUUCUAAACAUUUUGGUAGCAGUAUUUUGAAUAAAUCCCUCCAGUGUGUAACAAACAGUCAUGGAGUCUGUUUUUGACAGUUUGUGUGUGUUGUCUGAGGGCAAAGUUUGAAUUGGGACCCAGAAGUUAGAUGUUUGUACCGUUGGGUGUGAGUUUUUUACAAUUGUGUGUGAAGAUUUGAGAAAAUGGUGAGUUGUUCCAGGAAUUGUGUCUAAGCAAUUGAGAAACUGUAAAAGGGAUAAUCCACCCCGAGAAAUGAAACAGGUCAAUUUCGUGAAAGCCUAUGUUCAAUCAGUGGAUAAAAAAAUGUUUCCCUCAUGAUUAAAAUUUUAAGUGGUGCGUCUGCGAAACCAGGAAAUCAUGUAGGAACGCGUCAUAGCUACACGGUUCUCAUCACUGUAUAUAGUGUGUUUUCUCCUUCAAGUACCAUAAUGCAAUGUGUGUCUGUGGGAAACGUGGGAAAAAGGCAUCGUCCUCUGCUCUCGCUUGGUGAGAGAGCCUCCUAAAUUGAUAAUGUAGUUUGUUUACGUGAUUUUUAAAGCUACAGUGCCUUGCGAAAGUAUUCGGCCCCCUUGAACUUUGCGACC
Oncorhynchus tshawytscha (Chinook salmon) is the source of this 1563-nucleotide long non-coding RNA. The record is from Ensembl. Lineage: Eukaryota; Metazoa; Chordata; Actinopteri; Salmoniformes; Salmonidae.